UCUUCUCCGCCGAUGCUGCCAGACCUGCUGAGUUUUUCCAGGUAAUUCUGUUUUUGUUUUGGAUUUCCAGCAUCCGCAGUUUUUUUGUUUUUAUCUCUUCUAUGACUGGCUGUUCUGUGCGAUUGACAUGAACAUUGUGGUUGGGAUUGCAAAGUGUUUCUGUCCCCGAUUGGCUGUGAGAGACAUCAAUCAGAGAGUCCACCCACAGCUGCUUCACUUCCUUUAAGGACUGAAAACCAAGUGAGGAGAUGUGCCCAAGGACAUGUGCAGAGAAUUUGGAGGAACUUGUCAUUCCGCCUGUCAAAGUACCGACAUGGUACUUACGAGACUAAGAACUUCUUAUUGCCAUGAUCCAAAAAAUAAAUAUUGUUGCAAGCCAAGAUCGGAGAUCUAGUGAUGGAUUGGCAGCAGCCCGAGCUCUCCACAUUCUCAAUGAAUGAAACCUUUGUUCCUGGGAAACAGGCUCUGUUUGAUUGUUUCACUCUCCUAAGCCCUGACCCUGUAUUCCUGCUGUCUGAAUAAUGGGCUGUAAUCAGAAAUAAAACUGACUGCAUUGA
This is a long non-coding RNA of Carcharodon carcharias (great white shark), 557 nucleotides long. RefSeq lists it as uncharacterized. Lineage: Eukaryota; Metazoa; Chordata; Chondrichthyes; Lamniformes; Lamnidae. The record is from RefSeq and is a predicted model, not a curated record. The transcript has 2 exons.